AGCCCUGUAGUGUAGCCAGGCCAAUCACUCUUGACUUUGGAUCAAGAAACCCCGGUUCAAAUCCGGGCAGGGCAA
RNAcentral lists this transfer RNA (75 nucleotides) under Methanosarcina acetivorans. Its description in RNAcentral is "tRNA-Gln". It matches the Rfam family "tRNA". Rfam says of the family: Transfer RNA (tRNA) molecules are approximately 80 nucleotides in length. Their secondary structure includes four short double-helical elements and three loops (D, anti-codon, and T loops). Further hydrogen bonds mediate the characteristic L-shaped molecular structure. tRNAs have two regions of fundamental functional importance: the anti-codon, which is responsible for specific mRNA codon recognition, and the 3' end, to which the tRNAs corresponding amino acid is attached (by aminoacyl-tRNA synthetases). tRNAs cope with the degeneracy of the genetic code in two manners: having more than one tRNA (with a specific anti-codon) for a particular amino acid; and 'wobble' base-pairing, i.e. permitting non-standard base-pairing at the 3rd anti-codon position. Lineage: Archaea; Methanobacteriati; Methanobacteriota; Methanomicrobia; Methanosarcinales; Methanosarcinaceae. The record is from RNAcentral. RNAcentral also lists the same sequence under 1 other name.